This 208-nucleotide long non-coding RNA is filed under the name Elaeis guineensis (African oil palm). Its description in RNAcentral is "long non-coding RNA (EGUI_LNC053860)". The record is from RNAcentral. Lineage: Eukaryota; Viridiplantae; Streptophyta; Magnoliopsida; Arecales; Arecaceae.
AGUCUACUCUUCAUACCUCGACAUAUUAUUUCUUAAGGUAGUCAUGUAUGAUAUGGAACCAUCACUCAAUGUACUUAGAUUUUUUAUGAGAUCUGAGCUCCUUAGCAAGUGUUAUAGCUUCAUUGUUGUCGCAGUACAGUGGUAUGACAUCCAAUGUCAUUGUAUCAAGUUCUACAGUAAAUUUUUUGAACUAGAAGUCUUCUUUUGC